AACAACCACCUCCAAACCAAGUCUCACAACAACCACCUUCAAACCAAGUCUCAAUACAACCACCUCCAUACCAAGUCUCACAACAACCACCUCCAAACCAAGUCUCAAUACAACCACCUCCAUACCAAGUCUCACAACAACCACCAAUCUUUUACCAAAACCAACCACAUUAUGCCGGUAACAAUUCUCCAAAUCCACAAUAUGUAAUGUAUCAACAACAACCAUGCAUUUACCAACCACAUGCUGGAGAUGGUUCCCAAAAUCCAACUCAUUUUGUGCAUCCAUCACCACCACCACCAAACUCAUAUAGCCCUCAAAUUAGUAGCAGUAGUGAAAAAGUACCUGAAACACAAUUUGAAGGUAUGGUUGAUGAGCUUGAUGAGAC
Molecule: long non-coding RNA, 385 nt
Filed under: Lotus japonicus
Lineage: Eukaryota; Viridiplantae; Streptophyta; Magnoliopsida; Fabales; Fabaceae
Description: long non-coding RNA (LJAP_LNC001274)
Source: RNAcentral